Molecule: ribosomal RNA, 253 nt
Filed under: uncultured bacterium
Lineage: Bacteria
Description: partial 16S ribosomal RNA
Rfam family: Bacterial small subunit ribosomal RNA
Source: RNAcentral
UACAGAGGGUGCGAGCGUUAAUCGGAAUUACUGGGCGUAAAGCGCACGUAGGCGGCUUGGUAUGUCGGGUGUGAAAUCCCCGGGCUCAACCUGGGAACUGCAUCCGAAACUGCCUUGCUCGAGUAUGGGAGAGGGAAGUGGAAUUUCCGGUGUAGCGGUGAAAUGCGUAGAUAUCGGAAGGAACACCAGUGGCGAAGGCGGCAUCCUGGCCCUGUCCUGACGCUCAGGGGCGAAAGCGUGGGGAGCAAACCGG